AGAGUUUGAUCAUGGCUCAGAAUCAACGCUGGCGGCAUGCCUAACACAUGCAAGUCGAGCGAGAAAGUGUAGCAAUACAUGAGUAAAGCGGCGCACGGGUGAGUAACACGUGGAUAACCUGCCUCAAAGUGGGGAAUAACACCGGGAAACCGGUGCUAAUACCGCAUAUUCUGAUGAGAUCUGCGGAUUUUGUCAGGAAAGGAGCAAUUCGCUAUGAGAGGGGUCCGCGGCUGAUUAGCUAGUUGGUGAGGUAAUGGCUCACCAAGGCAACGAUCAGUAGCCGGUCUGAGAGGACGGUCGGCCACACUGGAACUGAGACACGGUCCAGACUCCUACGGGAGGCAGCAGUGGGAAUUUUUCGCAAUGGGGGCAACCCUGACGAAGCAAUGCCGCGUGGAUGAUGAAGUAUUUCGGUACGUAAAAUCCUUUCGACAGGGACGAAACCGCAAGGUUGACGGUACCUGUAGAAGAAGCCCCGGCU
This 481-nucleotide ribosomal RNA is filed under the name uncultured Acidobacteriota bacterium. RNAcentral's name for it is "bacterial SSU rRNA". It matches the Rfam family "Bacterial small subunit ribosomal RNA", at positions 8 to 498 of the family's 1533-position model. The record is from RNAcentral. Lineage: Bacteria; Pseudomonadati; Acidobacteriota.